CAGCAGCCGCGGUAAUGCGGAGGGUGCAAGCGUUAAUCGGAAUUACUGGGCGUAAAGCGUACGCAGGCGGUUUGUUAAGUCAGAUGUGAAAUCCCCGAGCUUAACUUGGGAACUGCAUUUGAAACUGGCAGGCUAGAGUCUCGUAGAGGGGGGUAGAAUUCCAGGUGUAGCGGUGAAAUGCGUAGAGAUCUGGAGGAAUACCGGUGGCGAAGGCGGCCCCCUGGACAAAGACUGACGCUCAGGUGCGAAAGCGUGGGGAGCAAACAGGAUUAGAUACCCCUGUAGUCCCUGUCUCUUAUAA
This 301-nucleotide ribosomal RNA is filed under the name uncultured bacterium. RNAcentral's name for it is "partial 16S ribosomal RNA". It matches the Rfam family "Bacterial small subunit ribosomal RNA", at positions 509 to 809 of the family's 1533-position model. The record is from RNAcentral.